Long non-coding RNA from Mauremys reevesii (Reeves's turtle), 589 nucleotides. RefSeq lists it as uncharacterized. NCBI's taxonomy places the organism in Eukaryota, Metazoa, Chordata, Testudines, Geoemydidae. The transcript has 2 exons. The record is from RefSeq and is a predicted model, not a curated record.
GGCAGUUGCUGAGGGACAGAGCCAGCCUUCCCUCAGGACCUGCCAGAUAAAGGAUCUUCCUCUUGCCAGGUCUGCCCACAAGUGAGCUGUUCUGCUCCCUUUGAAAUCCUUCCUCUGCUCUCUGCUUACCCUGCAGCUGUGUUGGGGUGGGGCUGGCUGAGGCCAGAGCAGCUCCUUAACCCCUUGUUGCCCCGUGUGAGAUUUGUAUUCCUCAUCACAAGUCCAAACAGAGGGGAAACAACCUUGAAGGCCAUAGAACGUCACCGAGUGCUUCCUCCAGAGAACCUAUGGCAUAUGACUGAGCCAGAGCACAUCUUCUGGAAAGACAUCUACAUGCAUUCGAGCCAGCUGGUAAGAAAAAACAUUCUUCUGCAGUGAUGUGAAGUUAAAGAACAUGGAGAAGAAGAAAACUUCUACUUGGGUUGUUACUGGAGCUGAAGCAGAGAGGCCAGGAUAAACAUGGCUAGGGCCCAGGACUGACUAUCAGCAGAUCUGCCGUUUUCUAUUCCUGGCUUUUUGACCAUGAGCAAAUUCUUUGCUUCUGUGUGCCUCAGUUUCCACAACUAUCAAAUAAAGAUAAUCAAGGUUC